This 239-nucleotide ribosomal RNA is filed under the name uncultured bacterium. RNAcentral describes it as "partial 16S ribosomal RNA". It matches the Rfam family "Bacterial small subunit ribosomal RNA", at positions 118 to 347 of the family's 1533-position model. The record is from RNAcentral.
UGGGUAACCUGCCUCAAAGAGGGGAAUAGCCUCCCGAAAGGGAGAUUAAUACCGCAUAAUAUGUUUUAGUCGCAUGACUUAAACAUCAAAGGAUUUUCUUUUAGAAAUUCCACUUUGAGAUGGACCCGCGGCGCAUUAGCUAGUUGGUGAGGUAACGGCUCACCAAGGCAACGAUGCGUAGCCGACCUGAGAGGGUNAUCGGCCACAUUGGAACUGAGACACGGUCCAGCUCCUAGGAG